RNAcentral lists this ribosomal RNA (374 nucleotides) under uncultured organism. RNAcentral's name for it is "partial 16S ribosomal RNA". It matches the Rfam family "Bacterial small subunit ribosomal RNA", at positions 527 to 896 of the family's 1533-position model. The record is from RNAcentral.
GUAGGUGGCAAGCGUUGUCCGGAAUUAUUGGGCGUAAAGCGCGCGCAGGCGGUCCUUUAAGUCUGAUGUGAAAGCCCACGGCUCAACCGUGGAGGGUCAUUGGAAACUGGGGGACUUGAGUACAGAAGAGGAAAGCGGAAUUCCAAGUGUAGCGGUGAAAUGCGUAGAGAUUUGGAGGAACACCAGUGGCGAAGGCGGCUUUCUGGUCUGUAACUGACGCUGAGGCGCGAAAGCGUGGGGAGCAAACAGGAUUAGAUACCCUGGUAGUCCACGCCGUAAACGAUGAGUGCUAAGUGUUAGGGGGUUUCCCGCCCCCUUAGUGCUGCAGCUAACGCAUUAAGCACUCCGCCUGGGGAGUACGGCCCGCAAGGCUG